Molecule: ribosomal RNA, 329 nt
Filed under: uncultured eukaryote
Lineage: Eukaryota
Description: partial 18S ribosomal RNA
Rfam family: Eukaryotic small subunit ribosomal RNA
Source: RNAcentral
CCCUUAGAUGUUCUGGGUCGCACGCGCGCUACAAUGAUGAAUUCAACGAGUUUAUAACCUUGGUUGAAAAGCCUGGGUAAUCUUUUGAACUUUCGUCGUGAUGGGGCUAGACCCUUGCAAUUAUUGGUCUCCAACGAGGAAUUCCUAGUAAACGCAAGUCAUCAGCUUGCAUUGAUUACGUCCCUGCCCUUUGUACACACCGCCCGUCGCACCUACCGAUUGAAUGGUCCGGUGAAAUCUUCGGAUUGAGACUUUGAUUUCUUCACGGAAAACGCUGUUUUAAGAAGUUGAUUAAACCUUACCAUUUAGAGGAAGGUGAAGUCGUAACA